Molecule: transfer RNA, 65 nt
Filed under: Austruca lactea
Lineage: Eukaryota; Metazoa; Arthropoda; Malacostraca; Decapoda; Ocypodidae
Description: tRNA-Tyr
Rfam family: tRNA
About the family: Transfer RNA (tRNA) molecules are approximately 80 nucleotides in length. Their secondary structure includes four short double-helical elements and three loops (D, anti-codon, and T loops).
Source: RNAcentral
AAUAAAGUGGCUGAGCUGUAAGCGGUAGAUUGUAAAUCUAAAGACAAGUAAAAAACUUCUUUAUU